UCUCUCUCUAUAGAGUUCCCUCGUCUGUCUCUCUCUCUCUCGUCUCCCUCUCUCGUUUCAGACGAUUUCGUCUCGCUAAAGCCUUGUCUCUUAACCUAAGGAUUUCUCUCUUCGUGUUCACCGGCAUGAUUUUCGUGUGUUUGUUCGAUUUCUCUGAUCACCGGCGUGAUUUCUUCGUCUUCAAGAUCCACCCUACUGGGAAAAUUUUUGUCGCUCAAGUCUUUUAUCUUCACCGAACGAUUCUCAUCCGUUUUCUUGUAUGAUUUGUCUGCCCACCGGUGUAAAGGAACGAUUCUCCUUCGUGUUCAAGUAUUAUGAAGAAGAAGCAUGUUAUAAGGAGACGAGCAUCGUCUGCUGAAGCUAUUGAGCCAGAAAGGUCAUACUCCCUCCGUCCCAGCUUAAAUGUCUUGUUUCUUUUCGGCACGGAGAUUAAGAAAUGUGUAUAAAGUAGAUAAAGUGGGUUGGUGGAAAUUAUUUAAAUAUUAAGUAUAGAGAGAGAGUGUUUGCCAAAAAAGGAAACAGGACAUUUCAAGUGGGACAACCCAAAAAGGAAAGCAGGACAUUUCAGCUGGGACAGAGGGAGUAUAAGAUUGUGAGAUGUGGUAACUGUGUGAAUACAUGUUUGGGAGAUGUUGUGCACAUAUGAUAGAGAUGUUUGGUGAUUUUUCCACUUUUUGAAUAUUCAAAUCAUAGGUAACCUUUUUGUCCAAAUAAAGUAAAAGUUUGUGCUAAUAAAUGUAUUACUUGUGAGUAAAA
Salvia miltiorrhiza (redroot sage) is the source of this 756-nucleotide long non-coding RNA. RefSeq lists it as uncharacterized. The transcript has 3 exons. Lineage: Eukaryota; Viridiplantae; Streptophyta; Magnoliopsida; Lamiales; Lamiaceae. The record is from RefSeq and is a predicted model, not a curated record.